Molecule: ribosomal RNA, 1196 nt
Filed under: uncultured bacterium
Lineage: Bacteria
Description: bacterial SSU rRNA
Rfam family: Bacterial small subunit ribosomal RNA
Source: RNAcentral
GGGGGGGGAGGAAAGCUGGGGCGGGGGGGGGGGGGCCCGCGGCCCACCAGCUUGUUGGUGGGGUAAUGGCCUACCAAGGCGACGACGGGUAGCCGGCCUGAGAGGGUGACCGGCCACACUGGGACUGAGAUACGGCCCAGACUCCUACGGGAGGCAGCAGUGGGGAAUAUUGCACAAUGGGCGCAAGCCUGAUGCAGCGACGCCGCGUGAGGGAUGACGGCCUUCGGGUUGUAAACCUCUUUCACCAGGGACGAAGCGCAAGUGACGGUACCUGGAGAAGAAGCACCGGCCAACUACGUGCCAGCAGCCGCGGUAAUACGUAGGGUGCGAGCGUUGUCCGGAAUUACUGGGCGUAAAGAGCUCGUAGGUGGUUUGUCGCGUUGUUCGUGAAAACUCACAGCUUAACUGUGGGCGUGCGGGCGAUACGGGCAGACUAGAGUACUGCAGGGGAGACUGGAAUUCCUGGUGUAGCGGUGGAAUGCGCAGAUAUCAGGAGGAACACCGGUGGCGAAGGCGGGUCUCUGGGCAGUAACUGACGCUGAGGAGCGAAAGCGUGGGGAGCGAACAAGGGUAGAUACCCUGGUAGUCCACGCCGUAAGCGGCCCUAAUGGGUGUGGGUUCCUUCCUUGGGAUCCGUUCCGUAGCUAACGCCUUAAGUACCCCCGCCUGGGGAGUACGGCCGCAAGGCUAAAAACUCAAAGGAAUUGACGGGGGCCCGCACAAGCGGCGGAGCAUGUGGAUUAAUUCGAUGCAACGCGAAGAACCUUACCUGGGUUUGACAUGCACAGGACGCUGGUAGAGAUAUCAGUUCCCUUGUGGCCUGUGUGCAGGUGGUGCAUGGCUGUCGUCAGCUCGUGUCGUGAGAUGUUGGGUUAAGUCCCGCAACGAGCGCAACCCCUAUCUUAUGUUGCCAGCGCGUUAUGGCGGGGACUCGUAAGAGACUGCCGGGGUCAACUCGGAGGAAGGUGGGGAUGACGUCAAGUCAUCAUGCCCCUUAUGUCCAGGGCUUCACACAUGCUACAAUGGCCGGUACAAAGGGCUGCGAAUCCGCGAGGUGGAGCGAAUCCCUUGAAAGCCGGUCUCAGUUCGGAUCGGGGUCUGCAACUCGACCCCGUGAAGUUGGAGUCGCUAGUAAUCGCAGAUCAGCAACGCUGCGGUGAAUACGUUCCCGGGCCUUGCAAUCACCGCCCGUCAAG